CAGAGCGUAGCUAAAUAGUAUAGCAUCUCCCUUACACCGAGAAGAUAUCCGUGCGAAUCGGAUCGCGCUGA
RNAcentral lists this transfer RNA (71 nucleotides) under Schindleria pietschmanni. Its description in RNAcentral is "tRNA-Val". It matches the Rfam family "tRNA". From Rfam's summary of the family: Transfer RNA (tRNA) molecules are approximately 80 nucleotides in length. Their secondary structure includes four short double-helical elements and three loops (D, anti-codon, and T loops). Lineage: Eukaryota; Metazoa; Chordata; Actinopteri; Gobiiformes; Schindleriidae. The record is from RNAcentral.